UACGUAGGGUGCGAGCGUUGUCCGGAAUUAUUGGGCGUAAAGAGCUUGUAGGCGGUUUGUCGCGUCUGCUGUGAAAGUCCGGGGCUCAACCCCGGACUUGCAGUGGGUACGGGCAGACUAGAGUGUGGUAGGGGAGACUGGAAUUCCUGGUGUAGCGGUGAAAUGCGCAGAUAUCAGGAGGAACACCGGUGGCGAAGGCGGGUCUCUGGGCCGUUACUGACGCUGAGGAGCGAAAGCGUGGGGAGCGAACAGG
RNAcentral lists this ribosomal RNA (253 nucleotides) under uncultured bacterium. RNAcentral describes it as "partial 16S ribosomal RNA". It matches the Rfam family "Bacterial small subunit ribosomal RNA", at positions 524 to 776 of the family's 1533-position model. The record is from RNAcentral.